GAUGAACGCUGGCGGCGUGCCUAAUACAUGCAAGUCGAGCGAACAGACGAGGAGCUUGCUCCUUUGACGUUAGCGGCGGACGGGUGAGUAACACGUAGGUAACCUACCUAUAAGACUGGGAUAACUUCGGGAAACCGGAGCUAAUACCGGAUAAUAUUUCGAACCGCAUGGUUCGAUAGUGAAAGAUGGCUUUGCUAUCACUUAUAGAUGGACCUGCGCCGUAUUAGCUAGUUGGUAAGGUAACGGCUUACCAAGGCAACGAUACGUAGCCGACCUGAGAGGGUGAUCGGCCACACUGGAACUGAGACACGGUCCAGACUCCUACGGGAGGCAGCAGUAGGGAAUCUUCCGCAAUGGGCGAAAGCCUGACGGAGCAACGCCGCGUGAGUGAUGAAGGUCUUCGGGUCGUAAAACUCUGUUAUUAGGGAAGAACAAACGUGUAAGUAACUGUGCACGUCUUGACGGUACCUAAUCAGAAAGCCACGGCUAACUACGUG
Molecule: ribosomal RNA, 497 nt
Filed under: uncultured bacterium
Lineage: Bacteria
Description: partial 16S ribosomal RNA
Rfam family: Bacterial small subunit ribosomal RNA
Source: RNAcentral